UACCCUUGACAUGUCUGGAAUCCCGAAGAGAUUUGGGAGUGCUCGCAAGAGAACCGGAACACAGGUGCUGCAUGGCUGUCGUCAGCUCGUGUCGUGAGAUGUUGGGUUAAGUCCCGCAACGAGCGCAACCCUUGUCAUUAGUUGCUACGAAAGGGCACUCUAAUGAGACUGCCGGUGACAAACCGGAGGAAGGUGGGGAUGACGUCAAGUCCUCAUGGCCCUUAUGGGUAGGGCUUCACACGUCAUACAAUGGUCGGGACAGAGGGUUGCCAAGCCGCGAGGUGGAGCCAAUCCCAGAAACCCGAUCGUAGUCCGGAUUGCAGUCUGCAACUCGACUGCAUGAAGUCGGAAUCGCUAGUAAUCGCGGAUCAGAAUGUCGCGGUGAAUACGUUCCCGGGUCUUGUACACACCGCCCGUCACACCAUGGGAGUGGGUUUCACCAGAAGUAGGUAGCCUAACCGUAAGGGGGGCGCUUACCACGGUGGGAUUCAUGACUGGGGUGAAGUCGUAACAAGGUAGGCGUAGUGCU
RNAcentral lists this ribosomal RNA (529 nucleotides) under uncultured bacterium. Its description in RNAcentral is "bacterial SSU rRNA". It matches the Rfam family "Bacterial small subunit ribosomal RNA", at positions 976 to 1509 of the family's 1533-position model. The record is from RNAcentral.